This 73-nucleotide transfer RNA is filed under the name Scleropages formosus (Asian bonytongue). It matches the Rfam family "tRNA". From Rfam's summary of the family: Transfer RNA (tRNA) molecules are approximately 80 nucleotides in length. Their secondary structure includes four short double-helical elements and three loops (D, anti-codon, and T loops). Further hydrogen bonds mediate the characteristic L-shaped molecular structure. tRNAs have two regions of fundamental functional importance: the anti-codon, which is responsible for specific mRNA codon recognition, and the 3' end, to which the tRNAs corresponding amino acid is attached (by aminoacyl-tRNA synthetases). tRNAs cope with the degeneracy of the genetic code in two manners: having more than one tRNA (with a specific anti-codon) for a particular amino acid; and 'wobble' base-pairing, i.e. permitting non-standard base-pairing at the 3rd anti-codon position. The record is from Rfam by way of RNAcentral. Lineage: Eukaryota; Metazoa; Chordata; Actinopteri; Osteoglossiformes; Osteoglossidae.
GCCUAGCUAGCUCUGUCGGUAGAGCAUGAAACUCUCAAUUUUGGGGUCGUGGGUUCGAGCCCCACGCUGGGCG